This 1076-nucleotide long non-coding RNA is filed under the name Olea europaea subsp. europaea. Lineage: Eukaryota; Viridiplantae; Streptophyta; Magnoliopsida; Lamiales; Oleaceae. The record is from RNAcentral.
CACGAGACAAACAACACAAACCCUACAACUUCCAUCUCUCUCUCACGCAGCCACAUCCACAGUCCCACUCCACUUGCAGCGGUGCCGUAUCACCAAAUCACCGACAUCAGCCUGUCGUCGAUUGUCCAUAGUAGGAAGCUGGGGUUAGUAAAGUGCAAUCUAUAUUCUUCUUCACGUUUUAGUACAUUAAUAUUUUCCUUGGGGGUAUUGUUCAUUUAUACUUCAUUUGUUCUUUUAUCUUUUUCUCUAAAUUUAAGUGACCUUUGAUGUUCUAAUCACUGAUGGUCGUCUUUUCUUUUUAAAGUUCUCGUGGCCUCCUUUUGUUAUGGACUCUAUUAUCCUAAUAAUGAAGCACCUGAUAUGAGUUGAGAUGGCUAUGAUUAUGUGUUUUUCUGUUUUUACACCUCUUUAAAUUGUACAUGCUUUUUUUUUUGGGGUUCUGGUCACAAGGAAAUCAAGGAAAUAUUCGCUGUUUCUACGAGCAGCUGGUCCCUUACUACUGUUGUUUUGGGCACAAACUUUAUGACAAUUUAUCAUACAUCUUCAAUCACAUUGGUGAGAAUAAUUUGGAUUGAAUAGAGUCAUGGUGAACACUGAACAGGUAUGUUUCUUGGUCUUUUAUUUUGAUAAGUUACAGUUUUCUCAAGCUCAAUGUUGUUAAGCUUGGUACACUUACUGUUGAUUUGUUUUUGUUUGGGAUCUUUGGCUUUUGCUCUUGAUUGCAGGGUGUCUUAUUUACCCGUUUAUUUUGUGAGUGGUUGAAAAACUAAUAAAAACAUAAUAACUUUAUAUUAGUUAGUGAAAGUUAACACUGAAAAACUAUUUCCACGAUCAAUAUCCACAAGUCAAAAAUAUGACAAAAAAUAUAGACAUGGCUUUAUAAUAAAAUGAAAGCACGUCUCUAUGAAUAUAACACAUGAUGCAAACCAAGCCUAAGAAAUAUCCCUACAUACGUACUUGCAGGCGCCCUCAAUGACUAAAUUGGGGUGUUGAACCUAUAAAUGAAUGGAAGCCUUCAGAAUUUACAGCAAAGAAGACCCAAUCUCCAACUCCUGCUACUUCUAAAAUGUCUCCUG